GUGUUUCGUAAUAAUAGGAAAAAAAAAUUACUUUCCAAAAGGAUAAUAAAUACUACCCAAAACCCUGGCCUCCUAAUUGAUGUUUUGUGAUUGAAGUUUUCUGGUCGAAAUCAAGUUAAAAGACAAAAAAAAACACACACACAAAUCAAAGUAAAACAUCAACAGAUACAUUAAAAAAAAAAAUAAACAUACAGGUCGCAAUAAUUUAUUGGUAUUAUUACAUGCGUGUUUUUAGUUUUAUUUUGUUGUUUCUGUAAACGUCUGUUCAAUCCAAUUUCCGUUCUAAUCAUUAAUUACAAAAGUGAAUUUUGACAGGAAAUUUUAUCUAGUUGAUACGUUAGGGAUGUUAUUAUUUUGAUUUUUCUUGUAUUUUUCUAAACAGUUGAGGAAAUCCGGGAAAUUUGCAAAAAACUGGAUGACUAUCG
Cinara cedri is the source of this 425-nucleotide non-coding RNA. The record is from the annotation of a GenBank genome assembly. NCBI's taxonomy places the organism in Eukaryota, Metazoa, Arthropoda, Insecta, Hemiptera, Aphididae.